CGCUCUUCGUAAAGGAUCCUGAUAUAUGAGGAGUCCUGCCUGCCCAGUGACUUUCAGUUAAACGGCCGCGGUAUUUUGACCGUGCAAAGGUAGCAUAAUCAUUUGCCUCUUAAAUAGAGGCUGGUAUGAAUGGCAAGACGGGGGUUUGACUGUCUCUCUCUUAAGGAGUAAUUGAAUUUAAUAUCUUUGUGAAGAAGCAAAGAUUAGGUCGUAGGACGAGAAGACCCUGUCGAGCUUAAGUAAUGGCAGUAGGUGCUGGAAGUAUUGUUAUACUAAUUUUCACUUUAAUUAGGGUGGUUGUUUUUAUGUANGGUAUGA
Molecule: ribosomal RNA, 318 nt
Filed under: Ceramaster arcticus
Lineage: Eukaryota; Metazoa; Echinodermata; Asteroidea; Valvatida; Goniasteridae
Description: partial 16S ribosomal RNA
Rfam family: Bacterial large subunit ribosomal RNA
Source: RNAcentral